UAAAUGCAGCCCUGAACCCUUUGUUGUGGUAGGAUGCAGCAGAGUCCAAUCUAAAAAUAAUGCAGAUCACCUGAAAGUCCCAGCAAUUGCUGAAAAGUCUGAGCCAACAAGGAACCUCAGUACUCUUGUACUCUUGGCAAGCUGAGAAUUAACUCUGGUUCUGUGGAGAGAUAAGACCACAGCUCCUUCCUUCAAGGAGUGAAACUUUUCCCCAACUGAAAUGAAUCCUUGCAGCUCCCAGUCAGUUCUCAGCCAUUGUUCCCCAGAGAUAUACACCAAGGAUAAAAACAUUGUAAUUUAAUGCAAAGGAAGAAUAAGAAAAAGUUCCUGUCACAAGUCAAAGCACUCAUUGCUCAGCUGGCGGCUGCACAGUUAGGAAGCCUGGCUCUUCUCUGGGAGCUCCUUUGUCAAAUAGGCUCAGGAUGAACAAGAAACAACAUACUGAAUUCUUCUCCAAGGGCUGCAGCAGCUGUGGCCAUCUGCAGAGGAGUCACUGGACUACAGCGAUGGGCUACUUCUGGAGCAGCUUCAGUGAGCUGCAGGAGCUUCAUUUCCACAGAAUCCAUUCCCAGGAGGUUUCUCUGGGUCCCAGGUGGCUGUGGUGUUGCUCCAAAGCAACGAGCAUUGUGAAGAGGCUGAGCGGGAGCUGCUGCUGCCUGGAGAGAGCAGGUGUGGGGCAGAGGACCUGCGGUGCUCCCCACAUCAGAGCACGCCCAGCACCCGGCAGCGUGUGCGGUCCUGGCUGGGGCUCAUGUGAGCAGACAGGGGAAAGAAACCCAAGGGCUCCUUGUCUGCCAUCACAGAUACCUGGUUCUUGAAACCUCUUACAGCUCUGGGGUUCAAUUCCACUGUUGAUGUAACCAGUUUGAGUUGGGUGCCCAUCUAUGUUUAGAUCUCUGCAUGCCUGGCCCUCCUGCCCCACUGAAUUCUUUGUGAGCACUGCUUCAUCAGAGCACACUCUCACCAGCUGACUUUGGGUACCUUUCAGAUUUUUCACAGCAUCAAGAUCCAUUCCUUUGUGGGAAGAGACCUGUGGAUGUAUUCUGUUCCAUCAGGAAGCUCACACUUCAGGAUUUUCUCAUUUUCAAAUCAGCACAGGGGAGUCUGACAACAACGGGAAGAGUGGCAAUGAAAAGGUGCCUUCUGCCUUGUGCUCAGUAAACUGAACACAGCCCGAGCAACUGUGCUUUUGGGAGAGAAAAGCGAAUCAAUAACUCGAUGAGGACUGUCAAGUAAUGCUGUUGUCUGCAGUGUCUUUAAUGGCUUUGGUCAAUAAACUGAAAUUAUUUUACAAA
This is a long non-coding RNA of Parus major (Great Tit), 1295 nucleotides long. RefSeq lists it as uncharacterized. Lineage: Eukaryota; Metazoa; Chordata; Aves; Passeriformes; Paridae. The transcript has 3 exons. The record is from RefSeq and is a predicted model, not a curated record.